UACGUAGGGUGCAAGCGUUGUCCGGAGUCACUGGGCGUAAAGGGUGCGUAGGUGGCUUGGUAAGCGUGUGGUGAAAGUCCGGGGCUCAACCCCGGAUCUGCCGUGCGAACUGCUGAGCUCGAGCAAUGUAGAGGCAGGUGGAAUUUCGGGUGUAGCGGUGGAAUGCGUAGAGAUCCGAAAGAACACCAGUGGCGAAGGCGGCCUGCUGGGCAUUUGCUGCCACUGAGGCACGACAGCGUGGGGAGCAAACAGG
This 253-nucleotide ribosomal RNA is filed under the name uncultured bacterium. Its description in RNAcentral is "partial 16S ribosomal RNA". It matches the Rfam family "Bacterial small subunit ribosomal RNA", at positions 524 to 776 of the family's 1533-position model. The record is from RNAcentral.